UGUCCAGUAGCACCUUAGAGACCAAGUUUUUUCUGGGUAUAAGCUUCCCUGUGCAUGCACACUUCUUCAGAUACCCAGAAAAAACUUAGUUGGUCUCUAAGGUGCUACUGGACA
This is a non-coding RNA of Podarcis lilfordi (Lilford's wall lizard), 114 nucleotides long. The record is from the annotation of a GenBank genome assembly. NCBI's taxonomy places the organism in Eukaryota, Metazoa, Chordata, Lepidosauria, Squamata, Lacertidae.